RNAcentral lists this ribosomal RNA (406 nucleotides) under uncultured bacterium. Its description in RNAcentral is "partial 16S ribosomal RNA". It matches the Rfam family "Bacterial small subunit ribosomal RNA", at positions 29 to 526 of the family's 1533-position model. The record is from RNAcentral.
AUUGAACGCUGGCGGCAGGCCUAACACAUGCAAGUCGAGCGAGCGGCGGACGGGUGAGUAAUGUCUGGGAAACUGCCUGAUGGAGGGGGAUAACUACUGGAAACGGUAGCUAAUACCGCAUACCAUCAGAAGUGCCCAGAGGGGAUUAGCUAGUAGGUGGGGUAACGGCUCACCUAGGCGACGAUCCCUAGCUGGUCUGAGGGGAGGACCAGCCACACUGGAACUUGGACACGGCCCAGACUCCUACGGGAGGCAGCAGUGGGGAAUAUUGCACAAUGGGCGCAAGCCUGAUGCAGCCAUGCCGCGUGUAUGAAGAAGGCCUUCGGGUUGUAAAGCACUUUCAGCGGGGAGGCGUUACCCGCAGAAGAAGCACCGGCUAACUCCGUGCCAGCAGCCGCGGUAAUAC